GUGUUCACUUUGGCAGCAUAUAUACUAAAUAGAAAUGAUACAGAGAAGAUUAGCAUGGCCCUGCACCAGGAUGACAUGAUAAUUCAUGAAGCAGUCCAUAUUAAA
This 105-nucleotide small nuclear RNA is filed under the name Sciurus vulgaris (Eurasian red squirrel). Lineage: Eukaryota; Metazoa; Chordata; Mammalia; Rodentia; Sciuridae. The record is from RNAcentral.